RNA transcript from Mustela erminea (ermine), 1577 nucleotides. It is a transcript of the gene named MISP family member 3, with no coding region annotated. NCBI's taxonomy places the organism in Eukaryota, Metazoa, Chordata, Mammalia, Carnivora, Mustelidae. The transcript has 3 exons. The record is from RefSeq and is a predicted model, not a curated record.
UUUUACAAGAAGUCUGGUACCCUGAACUGACCUGAGGCGCGUCAGCGCAGGAAAGGCGGUACCCUGCUGAGCCCCGCCCCUUUCCACCCCGAGGGCGGGGCCGUAAUCUUCCCUUCAGUUGCAGAGGGCGGUGCCCGACCCUGCCCGGGGGGGCCGUUCUUAGAGGCCAGGGGCAGGUCAGAGAAACGGCCGCUGUAGGCAACGCCUUGGAACCCGCGGGCGGUGACUGCCACAGGUGCCGCGCAGGGCAGUGUCCGAGCUCUGGGCAUCAAAACUCCGGCGCUGGAAACUAAGCCUUCCGAGCUGCUCCCAGCCCUGGACACCGAGGUCCCCGGGCCAGAGAUCGGAGCCCUGGGUUCAUCCGAAGAGCGGGGCCUCGAGGCCCCCGGGUCAGACAGCGAAGUCCGGGGCCUGCCCCAGAGCAGGACGCCGAAGUCCACAGGCCGGGAGGCAAGGUCUCCGUGCCCCCUUUAGAGCAGGGCGCGGAGAUCUCUGAGCAAGAGAGCGAAGUCCCGGGUCCAUCAGCGGGGCUGGACGCAGAACGCCCCGGGCCGUCUGCAGCUGAGGGUUUUGGGAGUCUCUGGUCCGGCAACCACGACCCCGAGUCGUCUGAAGCUCGAAGCGCGGUGGUCCCGAAGCACUGUCCUCUUCAGGAUCCCGAGACCUCGUCCCCGGAGUCAGACUCCGAAGGCCCCCUGCAGCAUUUUCUACCGCUCCCGAAGACCGCCCCCCCCCCCGACCAGGGCCCCGAGGAGCCGCUCAUGGAGACGCCCAUUGAACGAGAAAUACGACGCAGCUGCGAACGCGAGGAGAGCCUGCGCCGGAGCCGAGGCCUGAGCCCUCGCCGCGCAGGCCGAGAACUCGUCGAGCUGCGCGUGCGGCCAGUGCUCAGCCUGCCCGGCCCCGGCCCCGCGCUCCCGCGCGCCUUGGAGCGCGCGCGGGCGGGCGCGCAGAUGCAGCGAGAUAUCGAGCGGGAGGCCCACCGUCAGGCGGCGCUAGCGAGCCCCGCAGCCCCAGAGCAGCGCGCCGGGCCGCAGCCGCAGCCGUUGGGUGAGCUCCGGCGAUUCUUUGAGGCCGCUGGGGGACGCGGCUCCUUGCCGGCGGCUGAAGGCGGCGCGGACCUGCAGGGGCUGCCGGAUCCCGGAGGCCGGCCGCGCUUGGCGGUGCAGGGUCGGUGCCCGGUGCUGGCCCGCGCCCCGCCGCGGGUCGCGCCGUCGUUGCUGGAGCAGGAGGUGCGCGAGGUGCUUGAGCGCGAGCGGGAGCUGCAGCGCCAGCGGCUCAGCGUCUACGGCACCGCCGAGUUCAAGGAGCCCGCGCCGAGCCUCACGGGUUGCUCCCUCCUUUCAGAAUGGAGGUUUCCAUGGGAAGGAGGGUAAACGCCUGUGUGUUUAAGGGGCGCGGCCGGCCUCCUUGGUCCUGGCAGCCUCCAGCUGGUGACAGGAGGGGCAACCCCGGCUGAGCGCCCCUUCCCCCGCAGCGAGCAGCGGCGACGGAAAGCUGGCGGUGAUCUGGCCUCCCCGCAGAAAGGCAUCUGAGAGCGGCUUGGAGCAGGAGGAGCAGAAGACUUGAUGUUCCAG